GACGAACGCUGGCGGCGUGCUUAACACAUGCAAGUCGAACGGAAAGGCCCUGCUUUUGUGGGGUGCUCGAGUGGCGAACGGGUGAGUAACACGUGAGUAACCUGCCCUUGACUUUGGGAUAACUUCAGGAAACUGGGGCUAAUACCGGAUAGGAGCUCCUGCUGCAUGGUGGGGGUUGGAAAGUUUCGGCGGUUGGGGAUGGACUCGCGGCUUAUCAGCUUGUUGGUGGGGUAGUGGCUUACCAAGGCUUUGACGGGUAGCCGGCCUGAGAGGGUGACCGGCCACAUUGGGACUGAGAUACGGCCCAGACUCCUACGGGAGGCAGCAGUGGGGAAUAUUGCACAAUGGGCGGAGGCCUGAUGCAGCAACGCCGCGUGCGGGAUGACGGCCCUCGGGUUGUAAACCGCUUUCGCCUGUGACGAAGCGUGAGUGACGGUAAUGGGUAAAGAAGCACCGGCUAACUACGUGCCAGCAGCCGCGGUGAUACGUAGGGUGCGAGCGUUGUCCGGAUUUAUUGGGCGUAAAGGGCUCGUAGGUGGUUGAUCGCGUCGGAAGUGUAAUCUUGGGGCUUAACCCUGAGCGUGCUUUCGAUACGGGUUGACUUGAGGAAGGUAGGGGAGAAUGGAAUUCCUGGUGGAGCGGUGGAAUGCGCAGAUAUCAGGAGGAACACCAGUGGCGAAGGCGGUUCUCUGGGCCUUUCCUGACGCUGAGGAGCGAAAGCGUGGGGAGCGAACAGGCUUAGAUACCCUGGUAGUCCACGCUGUAAACGGUGGGUACUAGGUGUGGGGUCCAUUCCACGGGUUCCGUGCCGUAGCUAACGCUUUAAGUACCCCGCCUGGGGAGUACGGCCGCAAGGCUAAAACUCAAAGGAAUUGACGGGGCCCCGCACAAGCGGCGGAGCAUGCGGAUUAAUUCGAUGCAACGCGUAGAACCUUACCUGGGUUUGACAUGGAUCGGGAGUGCUCAGAGAUGGGUGUGCCUCUUUUGGGGUCGGUUCACAGGUGGUGCAUGGCUGUCGUCAGCUCGUGUCGUGAGAUGUUGGGUUAAGUCCCGCAACGAGCGCAACCCUUGUUCACUGUUGCCAGCACGUUAUGGUGGGGACUCAGUGGAGACCGCCGGGGUCAACUCGGAGGAAGGUGGGGAUGACGUCAGGUCAUCAUGCCCCUUAUGUCCAGGGCUUCACGCAUGCUACAAUGGCUGGUACAGAGAGUGGCGAGCCUGUGAGGGUGAGCGAAUCUCGGAAAGCCGGUCUCAGUUCGGAUUGGGGUCUGCAACUCGACCUCAUGAAGUCGGAGUCGCUAGUAAUCGCAGAUCAGCAACGCUGCGGUGAAUACGUUCCCGGGGCU
RNAcentral lists this ribosomal RNA (1346 nucleotides) under uncultured bacterium. Its description in RNAcentral is "partial 16S ribosomal RNA". It matches the Rfam family "Bacterial small subunit ribosomal RNA", at positions 28 to 1381 of the family's 1533-position model. The record is from RNAcentral.